GAUGAAGAACGCAGCAAAAUGCGAUAAGUAAUGUGAAUUGCAGAAUUCAGUGAAUCAUCGAAUCUUUGAACGCACAUUGCGCCCGCCAGUAUUCUGGCGGGCAUGCCUGUUCGAGUGUCAUUUCAACCCUCAAGCCCUCGGGUUUGGUGUUGGGGAUCGGCGAGCCUUUCUGGCAAGCCGGCCCCGAAAUCUAGUGGCGGUCUCGCUGCAGCCUCCAUUGCGUAGUAGUAAAACCCUCGCAACUGGAACGCGGCGCGGCCAAGCCGUUAAACCCCCAACUUCUGAAUGUUGACCUCGGAUCAGGUAGGAAUACCCGCUGAACUUAAGCAUAUCAAUAAGCGGAGGA
RNAcentral lists this unclassified non-coding RNA (346 nucleotides) under soil metagenome. Its description in RNAcentral is "partial contains 5.8S ribosomal RNA, internal transcribed spacer 2, and large subunit ribosomal RNA". The stretch from base 1 to 120 matches the Rfam family "5.8S ribosomal RNA", at positions 35 to 154 of the family's 154-position model. The record is from RNAcentral.